CGGCGGGCAGGCGCUGGAUACGUGGUGCUCGAUGCUGAUCGGGCAAAUGCGCGACCUGAUGGUUGUGCGCGUCUGCGGUUCGGAGACCGAUCUCGCCGAC
RNAcentral lists this transfer RNA (100 nucleotides) under Phycisphaerae bacterium RAS2. Its description in RNAcentral is "tRNA-Asp". The record is from RNAcentral. Lineage: Bacteria; Pseudomonadati; Planctomycetota; Phycisphaerae.